CUCUAUUCCAGCAGCCGCGGUAAUACGUUCCCGGGCCUUGUACACACCGCCCGUCACAUCACGAAAGUCGGUUGCACUAGAAGUCGGUGGGCUAACCCGCAAGGGAGGCAGCCGCCUAAAGUGUGAUCGGUAAUUGGGGUGAAGUCGUAACAAGGUAGCUGUAGGAGAACCUGCGGCUGGAUCACCUCCUUUCUAAGGAGCAUCUCCGCCUCGGAUCAAAACGAGGUCGUGACGAAGCACCUAGGUCGAAAGGAAUCACGCUGAGCAAUCAGCAAGCGUUCGUCUUGACCGUCUUUCCUGUUCAGUUUUCAGAGAAUCGCCUUUUCCCGAGUUCUAUGAAAAUCGAGCGCUGCGGUUGGCCGAUCGGAUCGGCUAUCGACCGACACGAUUACCCGAAAGCGGGCCUAUAGCUCAGUUGGUUAGAGCGCACGCCUGAUAAGCGUGAGGUCGGUAGUUCAAAUCUACCUAGGCCCACCAUCUUCGUGAAUUGAACGUGGGAACUUGAACAUCGGAUUGGGUCCGGUUUUCAGCUUCGAACUGUCAAUUCCUCCGAACGAACCGGGGCUGUAGCUCAGCUGGGAGAGCAUCUGCUUUGCAAGCAGAGGGUCGUCGGUUCGAUCCCGAUCAGCUCCACCAAUCACCCACCGCGCGCCACGCACCGAGCCUGCGAAUAUCAGCCGUGUGAACGAAGUCGACUCGUUCAUACAGUUGAUCUUCGCGAUCAGCGCUUCUUUGACAAUUGAAUACGGGUUGUAGAUAUAGAGAUGCACGUCAUA
RNAcentral lists this unclassified non-coding RNA (776 nucleotides) under uncultured bacterium. RNAcentral's name for it is "partial contains 16S ribosomal RNA, 16S-23S ribosomal RNA intergenic spacer, and 23S ribosomal RNA". The stretch from base 1 to 192 matches the Rfam family "Bacterial small subunit ribosomal RNA", at positions 1333 to 1533 of the family's 1533-position model. The record is from RNAcentral.